AUGCAGUCUCACUGGUCAAUUUUUGGUGACUACAGUGUCCCUUUAAGGCCAAAGAAGUCAAGCUGGAAGCAUAGCUGACUUGGAGAAUGUUUCCAGUUCGGUUAAUUUGUCCAGAAAAAGACACUACAGGCACCCAGACCACUUCAGCUGAUUGAAGUGGUCUGGGAGCAGUGUCCCUGCCCCCCUUAGUCCUGCAAUGUGAAUAAUUUCAGUUUUAGAAAAGCUAAGACAGCC
Pelobates cultripes (western spadefoot toad) is the source of this 234-nucleotide non-coding RNA. The record is from the annotation of a GenBank genome assembly. NCBI's taxonomy places the organism in Eukaryota, Metazoa, Chordata, Amphibia, Anura, Pelobatidae.